This 272-nucleotide ribosomal RNA is filed under the name uncultured bacterium. Its description in RNAcentral is "partial 16S ribosomal RNA". It matches the Rfam family "Bacterial small subunit ribosomal RNA", at positions 524 to 794 of the family's 1533-position model. The record is from RNAcentral.
UACGUAGGAUCCGAGCGUUGUCCGGAAUUACUGGGUGUAAAGGGCGUGUAGGUGGGUCUCUAAGUCGGUGGUGAAAUCCUGCAGCUUAACUGUAGGAUUGCCGUCGAUACUGGAGGUCUUGAGUACGGCAGAGGGAGACGGAAUUCAUGGUGUAGCGGUGAAAUGUGUAGAUAUCAUGAAGAACACCGGUUGCGAAGGCGGUUUCCUGGUCCGUUACUGACACUGAGGCGCGAAAGCGUGGGGAGCAAACAGGAUUAGAAACCCCGAGUAGU